UACCCAGCACCACUGUCCAGAAGCCC
RNAcentral lists this non-coding RNA (26 nucleotides) under Rattus norvegicus (Norway rat). Lineage: Eukaryota; Metazoa; Chordata; Mammalia; Rodentia; Muridae. The record is from RNAcentral.